AUGGGCGUCGCGGAGUGGACGCGCGGGCCGGCGAUCGGCAGGGGCUCCUCGGCCACGGUGUCGAUCGCCGUCGACCGCCGCACCGGCGGGGUCCUCGCGGUCAAGUCCGUGGCCGCCGACCGGGCCGCCGAGCUGCGGCGCGAGCGGGGCAUCCUCCGCGGCCUCAGCUCGCCGCACGUCGUGCGCUGCCUGGACGCCGAGGACAGGAGCGGCGGCGGCCUCGACAUGCUCAUGGAGUACGCGCCCGGCGGUUCGCUGGCGGACGAGAUCAGGCGGUGCGGCGGCCGGUGCGCCGAGGCCCUCGUCCGGUCCCGCGCGCGCGACAUCCUGCUCGGGCUGGCGCACGUGCACGCCGCCGGCGUCGCGCACUGCGACGUCAAGGGCCGCAACGUGCUCAUCGCCUCCGACGGCCGCGCCCUGAUCGCCGACUUCGGGUGCGCGCGCCGGACGGGCGGCGGCAUUGCCGGCGAGGAGCGGCAGCGGCCGACGGGCGGCACGCCGAUGUUCAUGGCGCCCGAGGCCGCGCGGGGCGAGGAGCAGGGCCCGGCCGCGGACAUAUGGGCGGUCGGAUGCACCGUCAUCGAGAUGGCCACCGGCGCCGCCCCCUGGCAGCGGUUCGCCAGCCCCGUCGCGACGCUGCACCACGUCGCGUUCUCGGGCGAGGCGCCGGAGUUCCCCCCGUGCCUGUCGGACCAAGGCAAGGACUUCCUGGCGAGGUGCCUGCGGCAGGACCCCAGGGAGCGGUGGACGGCAGAGCAGCUGCUGGAGCACGAGUUCGUGGCCGCCGCCGGCACCGCCUCGUCGUCCAAUUCCGCGCCAGGGAUCACCGAGAAGGCCACGUUCGUGUCCCCGAAGAGCGUCCUCGAUCAGGCCCUGUGGGAGGACGACGACGACACGACGGCAGACACCAGCGAUCCCACGGACAGGGUGCGCGCGCUGGCCGCGGGCGCGCCGGCCGUGCCGGACUGGACCUGGGACGCGAGCUGGAUCACGGUCCAGGCAGGCCCCAGCGGCGGCGCCGAUGAAGAGCCAGCAAUGUCGCCGGAGGUGGGCACGGACGCCGACAGCAGCGACUCUUCCAUGGGCGGCUCCGCCGGGCGUGCGGCCGCCGCAGAGGCGGGGGCCUCGAGCAGCCACCAGGCGUCGCAUGCCAAUGGCGAUCGUUACGAUGGCACGGGCAGCUGUAACGGCGAGCGCAGCGAUGAUGGUGAUCACGUGGUUAGCGAUUGUAGCACCGUUCCAAUCACAAGCAAUGGAUUCUUUUCCGAUACCACGUCCCGUUUCGCUUGUCCCAGCCCCAGCCAAGCUGGCCGGCCCGGCCCGUUUACAGUACCGCUCCUACGACCUUUCUCCCGCUGUUGUUCUUGCUGUCAUUCGCUUCCCGCCUCGCCAGCCAUUAUUAGCAGGAGUGAGUGGUACUCGAAAUCCAACUUAACACAGCUAGCGCGAAUGCCAGCCAACGAUCCUCGCCAGUUGGCAUGGCGCACAUUGUGGAGGAGGGAAUGCGCAUCGAUCGGGCGAUUUUUUCCUUUGGUCGGUCAUGUAUCACGCGUGACUGGCGAUUGGGUUAGUGGUGGUUACGCCGCGCGCCGCGGUACGGCCGGCGAGGCUGGUUUGGUUAGUUAUGAGGCGGCGACGUCGGGUGUGAGUGGCAUCGUCGCCGGCGGGGCCCGUCGGGCGCGCGGGGAUGGUUUCGGUUUGUUCGACGUGGCCGCCGCUGGCUCGCGAGCUAGCUCCGUCGGGUGGAUGCGGUCCAUCCCUCCACCAAUUGGCAGCCCGUGA
Molecule: ribosomal RNA, 1782 nt
Filed under: Triticum aestivum (bread wheat)
Lineage: Eukaryota; Viridiplantae; Streptophyta; Magnoliopsida; Poales; Poaceae
Description: partial small subunit ribosomal RNA
Source: RNAcentral